AUACGCAGUGGAGUCACCCAAGGGGCAAAAAAAGAAACAGAGUCCAGUGGAGAAACAUAAAGACAAAACACAAAAUGCCCAAAAUUAACUAGAAGAGAGAUAGAGAGGAAGCUUAUCACAUUGUAAAAGCACGAACUUUGAGAAGAGCCUUCAGAGACCCUAAAGAUCCCCCCUCAGAAAUAAAUAAAGGCUAUAACUACUUUAUGUUAUAAUACAACAGUUCCAGCAAUCAAUAAACCUCAGUCCAGAGUAUUUUUGGGGCUUUAGGAUAUAAAACCAGAGAGACAGACAAGACAAUCUCAAGGUUAUUUGUUUCUUCAGACAUAAUGAACCACCACCACCAUUUCGUUCCUGACUUCGAGACAGAUGAUGAUUAUGUCAACGCUAACACAAACUCUUCUUCUUCAAAUCUUCCUAGAAAACCCAUCAUAGGUGAAGAAGAAGAUGGUGAUCUCAUGGAGCUUCUAUGGCACAACGGUCAGGUGGUUCUCCAAAAUCAAAGACCAAACACCAAGAAACAACCUCUUUCUUCCUCUGCUGCUGUCAAACUUCACAACGGAGCUCCUCCCCCGCCGUUGGAUCAUAAUCUCUUCAUCCAGGAAGACGAAAUGUCCUCAUGGCUUCAUUAUCCUCUCGGUUCCAAUGAUUUCUGCUCAGAUCUUUUCUUCCCCGCCGCCAGGCCACCGGUACCGUCGUCUGUGAGGCCGCCGGAACCGUCGUCUAUGAGGCCACCGGCACCUUCCCCGGUGAGGCCACCAGCACCGUCGUCUGUGAAGCCUCCGGUACGGAACUUCAUGAACUUCUCGAGGCUGAGAGGGGAUUUCACCGGCCGUAACGGUAGAGGAGAAUCUGGACCGUCGAUUGCGAAGUCGACUGUGAGAGAAUCGGCGAAAGUAAACCCUAGCGCCACACCGGCGUCGUCGGCAGCGAGGGAACCCGAUCUAACACGGCGGACAGACGGCGCUGACAGUCGAGGGGCGGGUGAUUUAGGAUCCAAAUCCGCCGUAGAUGGAGGCGGAGCGUAUACUGUCGGACAUAAUCGGAAGGGAAAGGCAGUGGUCACGACGGAGCGGACGAGUGAGAAUCUCGGUGCAUCGUCUUCUGUUGCGUCGAAGAGUGAAAUCGAGCCACUUGAGACGAUCGUGGAUGAGAGGAAACGAAAGGAGAGAGAAGAAGUUGGCUCGACUGAGUGCCGGAACGAGGAGGCUAAACAAGGACGUGGAUCAUCAUCGACAAAGAGAUCUCGUGCUGCUGAAGUUCAUAAUCUCUCUGAAAGGAAACGGAGAGAUAGGAUCAACGAGAGGAUGAAAGCUCUUCAAGAACUCAUUCCUCGCUGCAACAAGUCAGAUAAAGCUUCAAUGCUUGAUGAAGCUAUUGAGUACAUGAAAUCUCUCCAGCUUCAAAUACAGUUUAUGACUGAGAUUUAUGCAGAUGAUGUCAAUGGGAUGUGGUAUGAUGCCGAUGAUGUACACCAGUAUGCAACAGUACAUGCCUCACAUGGCUAUGGGAAUGGGAAUGGGCGUGGAGAUGGGUAUGAACAGGCCUACUCCUCCUCCUCCUCCUCCGUUCAUGCCAUUCCCAAAUAUGUUAGCUUCUCAAAGACCUUUACCUCCUCAAACUCGUAUGGGCGGCUACCCUGCUGUUCAAGCUUCUGAUCCAUCAAGAGUAUAUGGACCAAACCAGCAGUUCGAUCCAAACUCGAGCCAGGCUCAGUUUUCGGGUUACAUGGAUCCAUUUCAGCAAUUCCGCAGUCUCCACCCGAGCCAACCACCUCAGUUUCAGAAUCAAGCAGCAUCGUACCCAAGUUCAAGCAGGGUAAGUAGUAGCAAGGAAUCCGAGGAUCAUGGAAACCAAACAACAAGUUGAUGAGGCCCUGAGGCAGAUGAUCUGUUUUCACAAGCAAUACACAAUUUUGAGAAAAUUGACAGAGAGAGAGACCUAACAUGUACAUCGCAGUUUCAUAUAUACAUAUGUAUUAUGUUCUUGUUGUUAUUCUCUCUUCCGGAUUGUAUACUACUUAGAGAUCUGUACAUGUAUCAGUUUCAUAUAUACCCAUAAAUUUAUUA
This is an RNA transcript of Brassica oleracea var. oleracea, 2066 nucleotides long. It is a transcript of the gene named transcription factor PIF1, with no coding region annotated. The record is from RefSeq and is a predicted model, not a curated record. The transcript has 8 exons. Lineage: Eukaryota; Viridiplantae; Streptophyta; Magnoliopsida; Brassicales; Brassicaceae.